AUUGCUUCUUGGCCUUUUGGAUAAGAUCAAGUGUAGUAUCUGUUCUUAUCAGUCUCAUAUCUGAUAUGUCCUUUAUCCAAGGACAAUAUAUAUAUAAAACAUUUAUUUAUUAUUAUAUGUAAGUACACUAUAGCUGUCUUCAGACACAUCAUAAGAAGGUGUCAGAUCUCAU
This is a small nuclear RNA of Mus spicilegus (steppe mouse), 172 nucleotides long. Its record names the gene U2. It matches the Rfam family "U2 spliceosomal RNA". From Rfam's summary of the family: U2 is a small nuclear RNA (snRNA) component of the spliceosome (involved in pre-mRNA splicing). Complementary binding between U2 snRNA (in an area lying towards the 5' end but 3' to hairpin I) and the branchpoint sequence (BPS) of the intron results the bulging out of an unpaired adenosine, on the BPS, which initiates a nucleophilic attack at the intronic 5' splice site, thus starting the first of two transesterification reactions that mediate splicing. The record is from Ensembl. Lineage: Eukaryota; Metazoa; Chordata; Mammalia; Rodentia; Muridae.